RNAcentral lists this long non-coding RNA (1419 nucleotides) under Apteryx haastii (Great spotted kiwi). RNAcentral's name for it is "lncRNA (ENSAHAG00000010999.1)". The record is from RNAcentral. Lineage: Eukaryota; Metazoa; Chordata; Aves; Apterygiformes; Apterygidae.
AUGUGCCUUUUUCUUAAUAAGACACUGAAACCUGUGUGGACGUGCACUGCCGCCGCCAGCACAACGAGCCCUGCACGUGCCCUGAGCUCGCGGCCCACUGCGCUGCCCGAGCAGCAGCGAGCAGGAGGACCGGCGGGGCACGUGAGCCCCCUUGCACCCCCGAGCACCCCCACACCCACAGCGACCUUGCAGCCUGCCGCCAAGGGCAGCGCGCAGGGCUGCCACAGCCGCCAGCGCCGCCGCGGCCGGCCACCUUCAGCACAGCCCUCACCCGAGACGCGCAGCACCGUGCACACCGCGUGCAGCACCAUGUGCACCGUGCAGCACCGCGCAGCUGUCACCCGAGACGUGCAGCACCGUGCACACCGCGUGCAGCACCAUGUGCACCGUGCAGCACCGUGCAGCUGUCACCCGAGACGCGCAGCAUCGUGCACACCACGUGCAGCACCAUGUGCACCACGCAGCACCGCGCAGCUGUCACCCGAGACACGCAGCACCACAUGCAGCACUGCGUGCACACCGCGUGUAGCACCAUGUGCACCGUGCAGCACCGUGCAGCUGUCACCCAAGACGUGCAGCACUGUGCACACCGCGUGCAGCACCAUGUGCACCGCACAGCACCAUGCAGCUGUCACCCAAGACGUGCAGCACCGCAUGCAGCACUGCAUGCACACUGCGUGCAGCACCAUGUGCACCGUGCAGCACCGUGCAGCUGUCACCCGAGACGCGCAGCACCGUGCACACUGCACGCAGCACCAUGUGCACUGCGCAGCACCACGCAGCUGUCACCCAAGACGCGCAGCACCGUGCACACUGUGUGCAGCACCAUCUGCACCGCGCAGCACCACGCAGCUGUCACCCAAGACGCGCAGCACUGUGCACACCGUGUGCAGCACCAUGUGCACCGCACAGCACCGUGCAGCUGUCACCCGAGACGCGCAGCACCGUGCACCCUGCACGCAGCACCAUGUGCACUGCGCAGCACCACGCAGCUGUCACCCAAGACGCGCAGCACUGUGCACGCCGUGUGCAGCACCAUGUGCACUGCGCAGCACCACGCAGCUGUCACCCAAGACGCGCAGCACUGUGCACACCGUGUGCAGCACCAUCUGCACCGCACAGCACCACGCAGCUGUCCCCCGAGACACGCUGCACCGUGCAGCACCGCACGCACCCCGCACUGGCCACACACCUCCUACGGGCCCCCCGGGGACCCCCCUUGCCUGCCCUGUCGCUCUGGGUGCUGGCGGCCUGCACCAGGCCAUGCACGGGGCUUGCUCGAGGGCCGUGCCCAGGACCUGCCCCCGGCCGUGCCCCGUGCUGCAGCCGAGCCGCGGCCCGGCCCAGGCCGUAGCGGCAGCCUGGCACCCCGGCGGCGCCCAGUCCCACAGCCAGGCCGUGCCCACCUCCGCGCGCACA